Molecule: long non-coding RNA, 938 nt
Filed under: Equus caballus (horse)
Lineage: Eukaryota; Metazoa; Chordata; Mammalia; Perissodactyla; Equidae
Description: lncRNA (ENSECAG00000051814.1)
Source: RNAcentral
GUGCUGUCAAAAUCUUACUCAGUUUCCGAUGCUAGUUACAAUUCCACAUAACAUUCUCCAGGACAACACUCCUGCACACGCUGACUGUGUUCAUUAUCUCUUGCUGCAUAACAAAUUACACAAACCUAGUGGCUUAAAACAACACACGUAUUAUCCAUUACUUGUGUCGGUUGGGAGUUUGCACAUGGUUUAGCUGGGUCCUCUGCUUCAGGGUCUCUCACAAGGCUGCAGACAAGGUGUUGGUCCAUGCUGCAGUCUCAUCUCAAGGUUCCACCAGGAAAAGAUGUACGUCCAAGCUCACAUGGUUGUUGGCAGAAUUCACUUCCUUACAAGCUGUUGGACUGAGGGCCUCAGUUCCUUGCCAUGUGGGCCUCUCCAUAGGUCAGCUCACAACAUUAACAGCUCGCUUCAUCAAAGGCAGAAACAGAGAGUCUGCUGGUCUGGUGGCUAAUUUCAGAAAGCAGAGUUAAGUUUCUAUGUCCCAGAGUUUGGAGGCCUCUACUCUGUAGCAACUUAGCAGCUCCAAGGGAAAGACCUCUACCUAUAGACUGACUGUCGAGCCUCAUCUCAGUAAGAAAAACUCAACUCGGCCUUCCUACGGUUGGGAGCCGGGAAAUAUCAGAGAGAAGACAUUUCCUUGCAAUGUCCUACAGAAGAGAUGCCAGGAUCCUUCUAGUUACAAGGAUUCGGAGGUGCUUAAAGGGUCACCUUCUUCAAGACUCAGCCUGCUCUUCAGCAGUUCUGGAACAUGUUGGAAGAAACUGGAUGAUCAGCGACCUAAUGAAUAAUCUAUUUUAUUCAAUACCAUUUAUUAAUUUAUAAUUAUAUCAAACUGUUAUUUGUGAGUAAAUGUUGUAAUAAAAUUAUUAAAUUUAUUAUGGUUUGUUGUUGUUUCAGUACUCUUUUGUAAAAUGAAGUUAUUAAAUCUUGGUUGCCAG